UGUGUGACUUACUUGUGUAUGAAUUGUUUAAAAUUAAAUGUAAUAUAAUUUAUACCUGGAGGAACUUUGGGGUUACUUAUAAUACAUAUAUUAAGAAGCCACAUGUAUGUCAUACAAUAUGCGUUUUCCCAGUGUGAGAGAUGAGAGGACCACAUAGUUAGUUUUUUUACAAAAUCUGCAUGGAACGGGCAUGCAGAAUUGACCAAAGCACAUGCAGGUUUAAGUCUGGAUGAUGGGCACUUCCAGGGUUGGAUCCAGUAGGUGCAGUAGGUGCCAC
RNAcentral lists this long non-coding RNA (277 nucleotides) under Setaria italica (foxtail millet). RNAcentral describes it as "long non-coding RNA (SITA_LNC006070)". The record is from RNAcentral. Lineage: Eukaryota; Viridiplantae; Streptophyta; Magnoliopsida; Poales; Poaceae.